RNAcentral lists this unclassified non-coding RNA (244 nucleotides) under uncultured Bordetella sp. RNAcentral's name for it is "partial 16S-23S ribosomal RNA intergenic spacer". It matches the Rfam family "Bacterial small subunit ribosomal RNA", at positions 10 to 255 of the family's 1533-position model. The record is from RNAcentral. Lineage: Bacteria; Pseudomonadati; Pseudomonadota; Betaproteobacteria; Burkholderiales; Alcaligenaceae.
GGUUCGAUUCUGGCUCAGAUUGAACGCUGGCGGGAUGCUUUAGCACAUGCAAGUCGAACGGCAGCACGGACUUCGGUCUGGUGGCGAGUGGCGAACGGGUGAGUAAUGUAUCGGAACGUGCCUAGUAGCAGGGGAUAACUACGCGAAAGCGUAGCUAAUACCAACAUGCGCCCUUGGGGGAAAGCGGGGGACCUUCGGGCCUCGCACUAUUAGAGCGGCCGAUAUCGGAUUAGCUAGUUGGUGG